Molecule: non-coding RNA, 963 nt
Organism: Camellia sinensis
Lineage: Eukaryota; Viridiplantae; Streptophyta; Magnoliopsida; Ericales; Theaceae
Source: RefSeq, a predicted model, not a curated record
AAAAGUCACAAACUUUACAACCACCCAUCCUCAUCUGUUGCACUUCAUUUUUCCAAAUUUCAAAUUUCAAAACACAUCAAUCCACUCCCUACAAAGAGACCCAUGCUCAUCAAACUCUCCAACCACUGCCUAUUUGUGAUUAACCCACCACUAAGCUCCGAUUAUGGUCUCCAUUCAUAAGAUUCGGGGUUUUUCUUCCAACUCUCUCUAGGGUUUUCACACCAAUCUCCACCUAAAAAUUAGGGUUCCAGUGGUGGUGCUUUCAGGGGUUUUUCUUCCAACUCUCUCUAGGGUUUUCACCCCAAUCUCCACCUAAAAAUUACGGUUCCAGUGGUGGUGCUUUCAAUUCAAUCCGAUCCGAUCCAAUCCGAUCUUCCCUUCUCUUCGGAUGAGAAAUCUCGAAUAACUCACAUUCGAGAUCGCUCACUCUCUAUCUCCAAUUUCGAGUUUUCCAGCAAAAAUCGACGGCCACGAUGGUCCAGCCUCUCUCUCCACUCCUCUGCUUCCUCGGGGUGCUAUGGAUUCUGGCGCAACGCUACUCUGGCGGUCCAUUCAGCUCUGUUUGUGCUCUACUUGGCUUUUCACGACAUCUCCACUCACCGACUACGAACAACCGACCACCUCUCCUCACCUCUUGCUGUCAUCACUCCUCUUGACCACCAACCACCGACUCUCUUCUCUCGCACUCCUGUUUCACCUCUCUCCUCUUACGACGACAUUGCAACCAUUUAGAGAUUGAAUCUUGGGGUCCAAAAUGAGCACCCAGAAGUCGGCUGUGACAAUUCGGGACCUGGCUGAGGAAGCCAAGAAGCGGAUUGUUUAUCUGAUCAUAUAUGCGUGGUUGGGUUGUCUUAUCUCAUGUCUUGUAAGUUUUGGGUUUUUUUUGUUUCAUUGAAUUUUGUUGCAGAUUCAUCACACUUUUUAUUGAUUAAUGGUGAAGAUUCAUCUUUUUUAAUUGGUUCA